UACACAUACAACGGAACAUUAUUUGGCCUUAAAAAGGAAGGAAAUUCUGACAUAUGCCACAGCAUGGAUGAACAUUGAGGACAUUAUGCUAAAAAAUAAGCCGGUCACAAGAAGGCAGAUACUGUAUGAUUCCACUUAUUUGAGUGAGACACUUAAGAGUAGUCGAAAUCACGGAGACAGAAAGUAGAAUGGUGAUUGCCAGGGGCCGGGGGAGGGAGAAAUGAGGAAUCAUUCUUUAAUGAGUAUAUUGUUUCAGUUUUGCAGGAUGAAAAGAGCUAUGAACAUGGAUGGUGGUGAUGGUUGCACAACAUUGUGAAAGUAUUAAAUACACUAAAUUUUACACUUAAAAAUGGCUAGGCUAGUAAAUUUUAUGUUACAUUUACUUUACCACAAUUUAAAAAACAGGAAAAAAAAGAUCAUUCAGAGAUCUGGGUACAAAGCAGAUUCUGAUUCAGUAGGUUGGGUGUGGCCUGAGACUCUGCUUUUCCAAGUUCCCAGGUAAUGCAGGUGCUGCUGGUCCACGGACCACACUUGGGUAACAUGGGAUUAGAGUACGUGAGAAAAGAAGGGUCAUCGUCUCCCAGAAUGCUGCUAGAUGGUGACACGAGAGAGGAAGGGAAUGACAAGCAACCAGCAGGGCUUGCUGGACUGUGGGAAGCAGGACCGAGUGAGCAGGCUUGCCUUGCUGUGCUGGAGGACCUCCCCUCCUCAGCAGGGCCUGUUCCCAGAGGUGAAAAUGGGCCCACUUAGACACAGGUGUGUGUCUGUGUAUUGUCAGCACCUGCAGGCAGAGAACGUCUCUGGGGCUGUGGCGUUUCCUCAUGCCCUCUGUUCUCAGAAAGCCCACACUGCAGGCUGCUGGCGAGAAGAUCUCAGGAAGCAGGUCCUGUGAAGAGGUUCAACCCAAUUUGCUUUCCUCAUGCUCCAGCGUUGACCUGGACACUGGAAUUGAGAAAGAAAUGGGAAGAAAAGGAGGACUCUGCAGAGGUGAAUGAGAGGCACAGACUUCUCAUUGUUUUGGAGGAAAACAGAAUGGUGUGGUAUCCCAGAAGCUAAGACAACAAAGGGUUUCAAGGAGGAAGAGAACAACUGCAUCAACACCAAAUGCUGCUGAGAGGUUCAGGAAGAACUGGACUGAUGAUCUCACACAGGCCUGAGGCUGUGGCCAAGGCAGGAAAAUGUGGGAAUGGCCUUUCUCUGAACGUUGACCUCUGUCACCUGCCAAGCACCUUAUGAUUUCCAGUUGUACCUCCUCACCAGCCUCGCUCAUAGAUAAGCCUUCCUAUCUUAGUAAUAAUUAAAUGUUCUUGUCCGAAACCAAUAAAGAAGCCAUGAGCUAACAUCUGCCGCCAAUCCUCCUCUUUUUUGCUGAGGAAGACUGACCCUGAGCUAACAUUUGUGCCCAUCUUCCUCUAUUUUGUAUGUGGGAUGCCUGCCACCGCAUGGUUUGAUAAGCAAUGUAUAGGUCCACACCUGGGAUCCAAAACGGCGAACCCUGGGCUGCCAAAGCAGAACGUGCAAACUUAACCACUGCACCACCGGGCUGGCCCCGCUUCAUAACACUCUUUGAGAAGCACAUGCUAGAAACCACUUCAAGGAGCAUCACUCAAGCAAUUAUUCACAGAGUCCCACUCGGGUGGCCACAAAGGAGGCGGGGCUCAGAAUCUGUGGAACAAUUGCUUUCAUACCUCACUGAAUCUGUGCAGAUGUGUUAUGGCCUCCAAAAUCCUGGCUGCAGGAAUAAGGCUGCAAUUUCAGACAUCCGCAGGCCAUUGCCUGAAGGAAGCCAAGCUUACAGCCUGUAAGUCUGUAAUAAGCUUUUUACCAUAAAGUGUUUGCUUCCACACUCCAGCUAUUUUGACAAGAACUAUCAUUUC
Molecule: long non-coding RNA, 1877 nt
Organism: Equus asinus (donkey)
Lineage: Eukaryota; Metazoa; Chordata; Mammalia; Perissodactyla; Equidae
Source: Ensembl